UUAUACCUACGGGGCGCAGCAGUGAGGAAUAUUGGUCAAUGGGCGGUAGCCUGAACCAGCUACGUAGCGUGAAGGAUGAAGGUUCUAUGGAUUGUAAACUUCUUUUAUAAAGGAAUAAAGUGAGGCACGUGUGCCUUUUUGUAUGUACUUUAUGAAUAAGGAUCGGCUAACUCCGUGCCAGCAGCCGCGGUAAUACGUAGGAUCCGAGCGUUAUCCGGAUUUACUGGGUGUAAAGGGAGCGUAGACGGGUUGUUAAGUCAGUUGUGAAAGUUUGCGGCUCAACCGUAAAAUUGCAAUUGAUACUG
RNAcentral lists this ribosomal RNA (305 nucleotides) under uncultured bacterium. RNAcentral's name for it is "bacterial SSU rRNA". It matches the Rfam family "Bacterial small subunit ribosomal RNA", at positions 333 to 635 of the family's 1533-position model. The record is from RNAcentral.